GUCUAUGGCCAUAGCACCCUGAACAUGCCUGAUUUCAUCUGAUUGAGGAAGCUAAGCAGGGUCAGCCCUGGUUAGUUCUCAGACAGGAGGUACUGUAUACC
Aotus nancymaae (Ma's night monkey) is the source of this 101-nucleotide ribosomal RNA. Lineage: Eukaryota; Metazoa; Chordata; Mammalia; Primates; Aotidae. The record is from Ensembl.